RNAcentral lists this ribosomal RNA (807 nucleotides) under uncultured bacterium. RNAcentral's name for it is "bacterial SSU rRNA". It matches the Rfam family "Bacterial small subunit ribosomal RNA", at positions 51 to 855 of the family's 1533-position model. The record is from RNAcentral.
ACACAUGCAAGUCGAGGGGCAUCACGAGGUAGCAAUACUUUGGUGGCGACCGGCGCACGGGUGCGUAACGCGUAUGUAACCUACCUAUAACAGGGGCAUAACACUGAGAAAUUGGUACUAAUUCCCCAUAAUAUUCGGAGAGGCAUCUCUCCGGGUUGAAAACUCCGGUGGUUAUAGAUGGACAUGCGUUGUAUUAGCUAGUUGGUGAGGUAACGGCUCACCAAGGCAACGAUACAUAGGGGGACUGAGAGGUUAACCCCCCACACUGGUACUGAGACACGGACCAGACUCCUACGGGAGGCAGCAGUGAGGAAUAUUGGUCAAUGGACGCAAGUCUGAACCAGCCAUGCCGCGUGCAGGAAGACGGCUCUAUGAGUUGUAAACUGCUUUUGUACGAGGGUAAACUCACCUACGUGUAGGUGACUGAAAGUAUCGUACGAAUAAGGAUCGGCUAACUCCGUGCCAGCAGCCGCGGUAAUACGGAGGAUUCAAGCGUUAUCUGGAUUUAUUGGGUUUAAAGGGUGCGUAGGCGGUUUGAUAAGUUAGAGGUGAAAUCCCGGGGCUUAACUCCGGAACUGCCUCUAAUACUGUUAGACUAGAGAGUAGUUGCGGUAGGCGGAAUGUAUGGUGUAGCGGUGAAAUGCUUAGAGAUCAUACAGAACACCGAUUGCGAAGGCAGCUUACCAAACUAUAUCUGACGUUGAGGCACGAAAGCGUGGGGAGCAAACAGGAUUAGAUACCCUGGUAGUCCACGCAGUAAACGAUGAUAACUCGUUGUCGGCGAUACACAGUCGGUGACUAAGCGAA